UACGUAGGGGGCAAGCGUUGUCCGGAUUUAUUGGGCGUAAAGGGCGUGUAGGCGGCCAUGUAGGUCCGUUGUGAAAACUCGAGGCUCAACCUCGAGACGCCGAUGGAAACCAUGUGGCUAGAGUCCGGAAGAGGAGAGUGGAAUUCCUGGUGUAGCGGUGAAAUGCGCAGAUAUCAGGAGGAACACCGGUGGCGAAGGCGGGUCUCUGGGCCGAUACUGACGCUGAGGAGCGAAAGCGUGGGGAGCAAACAGG
Molecule: ribosomal RNA, 253 nt
Filed under: uncultured bacterium
Lineage: Bacteria
Description: partial 16S ribosomal RNA
Rfam family: Bacterial small subunit ribosomal RNA
Source: RNAcentral